UAUAACGUCAAGUAAUGACCCGCAAUUGUAUAGAUCUUAAAUCGUAAUUGUAACAUUUUAACGGUUCAAAUUCUAAAAUAUAUAGGACAAUUCGUUUCUAUCGCGAUCGAUUUAAUAACACGUAGAUAUGUAUUACAUCUAUAUCUCAUCUUUAUUCUUCUCUUUAUGCUUCUUUAGACGGUAAGAAGGUUAAAAGCGAAAACUUAUCGAUUAUAAGCCAAAUAUUCUUAACCUAAAAUUUUCUUUAACCCGGUAACUUGAAUUUGAUAAGUAAUAAACGUCCUGGCCUUGAUAAAAACGUCGUGACAUAUCUACGUAUUUCGAGUGAACAAAAUGACGUUAUGGUGAAUGCCAAGCUGGAAAAAACCUAGGUAGCGCUGAUUAAUAAAUGAAUGUAUGCGCGACAAACAAACAAACAAACAAACAAACACACACACACACACACACACACACACACACACACACAUCUACGCCCAAGAAAGAAAACAACAACAAAUGCAAAAAUUAAGUAAAUAGCCAUAAUAUCCAGGAAAGACGACAUGGAGGAGGAUAUCCGAAAUACGAAAUUCCAUUUAAAAGUAACGCAAAUAACGGAAGAAAACGCUCUUCUUCGAGAAGAAAUCGCGAAAUUAGAUGAUAGAAAUUCAAUUUUGGAAAGGCAACAAAAAUAUUUCAAACGUCAAUUGGAACAAAUCCAUGAAAAAUAUAGUGAACUGCAACGAGAAUAUGAUGAACAAAAAGACAUAUUGGAUGAAGUUAGGAGAAAAGAAAAAGACACCAAUAUAGCACUCCAGAAAUCUACAAAAGAGCAACGGAUAUUAUUAACAAGAUUAGAAACGGUCGAAUUAGAGGUUGUAAUGGCGCAAGAAGUAACAAGUCUGAAGGAUAAGUUAAAGAAAGUUACGAAUGAAAGACUCGAAUGUACGAAAAAGAAGGAUGAAAUAGUUGAAAAAUUGGAUGAAAAGUAUAACGAGUGCGAAUCAUUGCUUAUGACAAUUACAGACUUGAAAGAAGCGAAUGAAAAUCUUCGAAGUAAUUACGAAGCGCGCGAGAAUAUGAUCAAAGUGCUACGAGAAAAUAAUCGUCAACUAGAAGAUGAAAAUGCGGAAUUAAAAUUACUCAUAAGUAUGAAUACUCGUACUUCUACAGACAAACUCUCUAAGACGCCACAUUCGAACGCAGAACCAUAUUGCACGGUACACGAUAUUCCAUAUAACAGAUUCAACGAUACGUUUCUUCAAGAUUCCCUGUAUGACGAAUUGAAAGCUUCCGGUUUCACGAAUAUAUGCAGCUGGAAUGAUACGAUAAGCUACGAAUUAAAGAAGCAAGUGCAAUGUUACGAAUUAGAAGUUGAUAAACUUAUACAACAAACAGAAUGUGUUUUCCAACAAUUGGUAUCGGGACGCGACAAGAACUGUCUUCAUCUUAUACAAAAUAUAAACCAUUGUACUGAGAGUUCUGAAAAGAUGACAAAUUUGGAGGUCCUUAAAGAAAGGAUACAAAUUCUUUUGGAUAUGGUAAAGACAACAUCUCCAGAACCUAGAGGUAUUGAAAUUGGUAUUCAAGUGCCGGCAAUUUCUGGAACGAUAAAAAAUUUGCAGGAAUUGUCUAACUUAGACGAGGAAGAUCAUCUAGAAUGCUUUUGUAAAAAAAAUCAAAUAAUCGCAUCUCAUGAUAUAUCGAAAGAGAAACAAGACCAAUUUACUAUAUCUGCGAAAUGUCCUAAAGUAGUAAUGGUGCCGAAAUCCAUCGUCGGCGAUCCAAUCAUACAAGUAUCCGACAAAAGUGUUCGAUGUAUUACAAGUCCACGAAAAAAAAGAUCAAUGGAAAAUAUCAGUUCAACUAGAUUAGAAAGAAGAAAAACUAUUCAUAAGUUAACGUUCUGUAAGAAUUCUUAUAACGACGCUGCUACCAAAAUAAGAGCCGAUAUUAUGGAUGAAGGUAAUGGAGAUUACACGGAUAAUGAAAGAUUUGUACCAUUUAUGGACCAUUUAUCGUUACCAAUAGACUUUAUGGUUACAUCCAAACGAGUCGCAAUAAAGCGUAAUCGUAAAUCAAAGUCCGAAUCUAGUCUACUUCCGGAAAAGAAAGUUUUAUUUUGUCGGCCAUCGUUUAAUGCCUUCAUAAAACCAUUAUCAGCGGAGCCAUUAAUCAAUGAAGCCAUUGAAAUGAGAAAAAAAUCCUUCGACGGAUCAACUUGUGAAGAAGUUGAAAGAGUAAACAAGUUUCCCGUACUGCUCAAACAGAACGAUCGGCAGAAUUUAACAAGCUCUCAUGGAUACGCAUUCGGAGGUACCUAUCGGUCAUUGAACGAUAGUAGUACAGAUUCUUCGGUUAGUUCGUCGUCUCUUCGAUCCGAUAAUCUACUCCCCCAAGAUUUUUCUAUAGACGAGUUGGAACACCGUCCAUUUGAAUUACACCGUCCUGUUCACUUGGCUCCUAUGAAAUUGAAAUUCCCAUCGGAUAAAGCCUCGCCUUUCACCAAAGAGCAACGUUUUACCAAUAAGGAUACGCAACAAGCAGAUUUCACUGCAGCGAGUAAUAAAUUGCUUGAAAAUAUAAAAUCGAAAACGAACAUCCGCGAAACAAAGCAAUAUAAAAUCGUGGAACAUUUUGAGGAAGGUCGUUUAAACAGAGAUUAUUAUAAUGAAAGCCUUAAUAAUCAUCUUAUGGAUAUCAAUAAAGAAAUCUAUUCGAUCAAUAGUGAAACAUAUUUAAUCGAUAAAUUAACGGCACCCAUUUGCCGCGAUAUAACGUCUAUGUAUUUUCGAAGAUUCUCUAAUUUCGAUCGAGAAUGUUAUACGGAAGAUCAUCUACCAGCUGCAUACUCAACACCGAUGCGCAUCGAUUCGAAGGACAAAAAUUCGUCGAAAAGUAAAAAUAAGAAAGAUGGCAACGAUAAUUGUGAGUCGCUCGUACGACGAUUCGCUGAAUUGGAAAUGUCAAGAAAAAAAUUAUCCUUAUUUAGGAUAUACAAGGACCGUUUGAACGAGAUGAAUAACGAGGAACGCCUAGAAAAGGUCGACUCUGGAGAUGGAGAAGAAACACUUUCGAUAUCACUUUGUAGUUUUGCAAAUAACAUCGCGUUGUCGCGAAGUAAACGUGCGCUUACGAACAGGGAGAAUUCCGAUGAUUUUAUACCUAAUGUAGCACAGAGAAACGAUACGGAAGGAAGAACGAAUUGCGCAACUGCAAGGGAAGAAAAGAUCAGGCCGACGUCGUCGGAUGGUGAAAGUCAAAUGUCAGAUAGCAAAGAAAAUUUUCUCGAGAGAACGCAACCGAGAAAGAAUUUGCUAGAAGAAAAUAAGAGCGUACUACAAGUUUGUAAAUUCUAUCAUUCGAGUUCGGCAAAGUCGAAAAUUGUUGGCGAAGAAACAAGAUUACGUACUUCGGUAUCUCAUUCUUUCACGAACAUCCAAAUUCUACCAUCGUGGCGCGCGCUCAUUUUCUAUGCACUGGUAUUUUUUUUCGGAUUUUAUGCAGUAAAUAUAUUUUUAUAUGUCGGGCCACCGUAUAAAUGGUGGUCACUCGAAGAAAUACUCAAUCGAUACUUCCCAAUCACAAAUACGGGAUGUUCACCACCUAUAUGAAUAUUAAGUCGAUUAAUUUUGACAUACAUACAUAUAUGCAUAUAUAUGUUCUGCUAAUACUCUAGCAUGCCCAAAGUGCAUAGUGCGCACCAGUGGCUGCCAUUAUUAAAAUAGUUGCUAGUGGUGCCAACCCGGAUUACUUGCCAACUUCACUCUAAUAAAUCUUGAAGUGCUUCAAGGACUUUACC
Molecule: RNA transcript, 3778 nt
Organism: Vespa crabro (European hornet)
Lineage: Eukaryota; Metazoa; Arthropoda; Insecta; Hymenoptera; Vespidae
Exons: 17
Source: RefSeq, a predicted model, not a curated record